AGGACGAACGCUGGCGGCGUGCUUAACACAUGCAAGUCGAGCGGAAAGGCCCUUCGGGGUACUCGAGCGGCGAACGGGUGAGUAACACGUGAGCAACCUGCCCUUAGCUCUGGGAUAGCUCCGGGAAACCGGAAUUAAUACCGGAUAUGACCUAGGCCGACAUCGGCCGUGGUGGAAAGUUUUUCGGCUAGGGAUGGACUCGCGGCCUAUCAGCUAGUUGGUGGGGUAAUGGCCUACCAAGGCGACGACGGGUAGCCGGCCUGAGAGGGCGACCGGCCACACUGGGACUGAGACACGGCCCAGACUCCUACGGGAGGCAGCAGUGGGGAAUCUUGCGCAAUGGGCGAAAGCCUGACGCAGCGACGCCGCGUGGGGGAUGAAGGCCUUCGGGUUGUAAACCCCUUUCAGCAGGGACGAAGCGAAAGUGACGGUACCUGCAGAAGAAGCGCCGGCUAACUACGCGCUAGCAGCCGC
RNAcentral lists this ribosomal RNA (474 nucleotides) under uncultured bacterium. RNAcentral's name for it is "SSU rRNA". It matches the Rfam family "Bacterial small subunit ribosomal RNA", at positions 26 to 518 of the family's 1533-position model. The record is from RNAcentral.